Long non-coding RNA from Pezoporus occidentalis (night parrot), 3778 nucleotides. RefSeq lists it as uncharacterized. NCBI's taxonomy places the organism in Eukaryota, Metazoa, Chordata, Aves, Psittaciformes, Psittacidae. The transcript is spliced from 2 exons. The record is from RefSeq and is a predicted model, not a curated record.
UGCAGUGCAUAGUGCCAUACCGGGGAGACAUGGCAACGUGGCCCGAGUUUGGAAAGCCAUCAAAAAAAUAAAUUUCAGUGAAUGCAGACACACUUCUCAGCCCCAAUAUUAUCUAUUUGGUCCCUGUAGAGCUGUAUGAAAAUGAAUUGUAUUGCAGAGGCUGAGGCAAGCCUUUAAACUAACAGACAUGUUGUUUCUAUCUGAAUUCCUGAUCUGCUGGCCUAUAUUGUUUUACACUUGGGGUUUAGGGAGUUUUUAGGUUGUUUUAAUUGUAACUGAAAUGUCAAGCUGUGCGCUUGUAUAAUGACAUUGCACCUAUCUUGUUCCCUGUUUACGUAAUGCACUCCUUUCUGAUUGUGGUGUUUGUUGAUGACAGUUUCUGCUAUUCUGUUUUCCUUCUCAUAAUGACAUUUGUAACAUUCCUCAGAAUGUAGCAUUAUAAAAGGAUGCUUCCAGAGACAAAAGAUUGGAGAGCCAUUUUAAAUGUUGCUUCCUGUUUAAACUGUUUUAAGUUGGGAAACCAAGCUGAAUGCUGGAGAGUGCCUAGGUAAAUGUAUUGCUUCUUCCAGCCUUGUCUGUUAAGAUUCAGUUAAUGUAAGUUUUCAGCUCCUCUAUUUAAGAAUCUGCCUACCCUGCAUAUGUGAACAUAACUGUGCCCUCAGAUUCAUAGCUAAACUCUCACAAAUGACAGUUUUGGAGUACUUCAGUGCUCAUGUGAGGUUUGCUAUUAUUCUAUCCAUGUAGUUGGCUGUAAAUUAUGUGCAUUUAUUCUGUAUUUAUAUGGUUAACUUUUUUUUGUUCAGAUUGCUUUAAAAAUCAAAUCAAAUUAAAAUGAUGUGCUUCUGUUCAAAUGUUGCCUUCUGUGCUAAACUAUACAUUAUUUUUAACCUUUUAUUUUUCCUAUUAUUCAUCUAUCAUCAGUGCCUGAACAGUUGUGAAUAAAAAAUAAGCAAUUCAUUGGGAGAUCGAGUAAAUCAUCUUAUCUUCUGCCAUUUUAUAGUAGCUGAGAAUGUGUCUGUAUUAUACCUGUAAUGUGCUCUUUUUGGAGGGAUUCAUUGAUGACUUAAACUGGGUGAGUUCUUGCAGUUGGAUUUGAACACUGUUACCUCAGCAGAAGGAAGUGUUACUGUCUGUCAGCUGAAUUUCAGUAAGGUGAUCAGAAAACUCGUGUCCAUUUAAAGCGCCAGCCAGUACCAACCACUGCUGACAGAAAUGAAGGGAAGUAUUUCCUUAAAAUAUGUGCUUAACUGGGUGUGCACUUAGAACAGAGUCCUUGAACCAGUAACAUUUUAAGGUAUUGUUUCUUUUAAGAGUGUUUGAUCUGAAGUCUGUCCUCAGAACUUCCUCAGAAAUCAUUCUGCAAAUGUAUCCAUAGGAUUUGUUUAGUGGUGAAAUGCUGUGUUUUUUUUCCCCUCAGUGUGUGUCCUGGAACUGAAUCCCUUGCAGCCUUGAAUAUGGAGCCAAGCUUGAUGUCUCCGAUUUGAUUAUUUCAGCUAUGCAGAAAUAUUUCAAAACUUUCAUUAAACUAACACAUCUGUGAUUAAAUGUUUCUUCUCUUUCAGUAGGUGUAAGUGUGAAUUGACCUGCCUUGCUGUGCUUCUGAGGCCUUCUAGCUUCCAGGUCUGCCAGGCUUAGAGGUGAUCAGGCUUCUGCAGUCAGUACAGGCAAUAAGUGUGCUUAUCCCUGACACAUCUGGAAUUGUCUCUAACAGGCAUAAUUGUAAUUGCCUGUAAUUAAUCUUUCACUUUAAUCCUCUGAAAGAGUCGCGUUGGCAAGGCAGAGCUCAGGGUAAGUGUUUGGGGAUGUUUUGGCAUUCAUGUUGCCUUGCAACCCCUUCUGCUGGAGGGCUUGUAUUAAACUUGCCCUGGAUAAAAAGCAUGUGUAUAAAAUGAAGGUAUGUUUCAAGUCCUAAUUGAGUUAUGGCUUGACAUUAAUGUAGCAGUGUAGCCUGGUGUAGAUGCAACCUCAAAGCAUGUGAGGCUUAACUAUGAUCUCUUUGACAAAACAAAGCCCUUGAUUUUGAUAAUCACUUAACACUAAAACAAAAAAGCACUUCUGGAGACAGUUGCUCCUCUCAUCUUCUAUGUGCUGUUGUCAACCAACGUGCUUUGCGCUGACUCUGAACAUCAUAAUCUUCCUGCACAAGUUUCUGUCAAAGACAAGAAAUACCAGGUAUAGGAGUCCAGCUCUCUAGAGCAAAUUGGUGCAAACAAAAUAGUUUAUUGAACUGUAGAAGAUAUAUUGGAGAGGAGGAGCUUCUGGCUUUGUAAAUGAAAUAUUUCAUGGGAUGCUCUUAAGACUGGUUUCACUAAUGCAGAGAUAGUUGUUAAUGAUAAAGUUCUGUGAAGUUACCUAUGUGCUUUCAAAGACAAGCUCCAAGUGGUGAAAUUUCCUGGAUAGAUUUGAGAGUGCUUCUUCCCUCAGCUGUGGCUGUUUAGAAAUCAGUUUCUUUCCCUAAUCCUGCCCCUACAGCAGACACUUGUGAUGGGCCUGAGGAUGUGAAUGUUCAAAUCACCUGGAGUGUAAAAGAAAUUCUAAGUAGUUUGUUCUGAGACUUGGUCAUCCAUUCAGAAUUCAGAAAGCAAGUAUGCAGUGUGCAAGUGUGGCACAGUAUUUUGAAUUCUGUUAAAUUAGGACUUACUAUAAUUAGAGACUAGAUAAUAGAGAUCCAGUGCUUAAAAGGGAAAAAAAUUCAAUGAGGAAACUAUAGGGUUAUGUGUCUGUAAGCAGGCAGAAUUCUAAGUACAUUGCUUCUGCAAAGUAUGCUAUAGACAUAAAAGUAGCUAUGAUACGUAAGAAUUUAUGUUCAAGUAAGCUGAUGAUUACUUGUGAUCCUCUGUGUUUUAGAUGAAGUAAGUGCUAGGAGAACAAAUCCAUAUGGUUUUUCUUUUGUGGAACUACAUGAUGUGGAGCCACAAAGGAAGUCUUGAUUAUUCCAGCAUGGGUGAAAUCUUGGCUAAAGAGCAAGUGUUUAGUAACAGGAGCUGUUGGAUUGGUGGUGAAGAGUACAAGUACUUGAAGUACAAGACCUGAUGCUGCAAAACUGAGAAAUGUUUGCUGACUGUUGCUAUAUCUGGCUUGAAUGUAAGAAAGCUUUUAAUGAUAAUGCAAAAGGGUUUCAAGUAGUGAAAGCAGGAAAGAAGGGUCUUAAAGGUGCCUGAACAUUGUGUAAAAGGGAGACCAGUGGUAGCACAGGCCUAAAUAAUCCCUGCUGUGUUUAAUAGGGAUUAGGUGCUCUGUUUAGGACAGAGUUAACCCUGAGCUUGAGGUGCAUGUGGCUUGUUUCAGGGGGAUUUAUAGAAAAGAUCAAGUUCAGCUUCUCCCUUAGAAUCAGCCAAUCCCAAGAACUUCCCAACAUCCCUCUUCAUACAUCUGUCUUUAAGCAGUUUAUCACAACAGCUGAAGAAUAUAAUGUAUUUUGUUGCUGAUCUGGAUUUUUCCUGGUUUUAUGCCACACAUUGCUUUUCUGCAAGUGUUGUAUUUUUGUCGGUCACUGAGGAAUGACUCUAUUGAGUGCCAAGAUGUCACUACGAAAGAGUUAUUGCUUUCUCACGGAGUGUGCAAGGAGUAAAGGAGGUUCCUGGUGUGUGUCUGCUUCAGUUGACCUAACCUGGGAAUGAAAUAUGUCAAUUCUUCACAGGGAAGGAAUCAUUUCAUCCUUGUUUGUUACUUUGUUCCUGCUACAUAUAAUUUUAUUGGUUCCUGGUCCAUUCUUCAGGUUAAUGAGUUCAUACAGUAUAUUCCAAACUAAUCAGUCAAAUAAAAAGCACCUCUCAGU